This is a long non-coding RNA of Pecten maximus, 1031 nucleotides long. RefSeq lists it as uncharacterized. Lineage: Eukaryota; Metazoa; Mollusca; Bivalvia; Pectinida; Pectinidae. The record is from RefSeq and is a predicted model, not a curated record. The transcript has 3 exons.
GAGAGAGACAGAAACACAGAAAAGGAGAGAUAGAUAGAUAGAGAUUCCUGAUACAUUAAGAUACUAUGAAGUUGGCUCUUCGUUAGCAAACAAACAACAUCCGUCUUGACCAUCUGCUGGAUAUACCAUACAAUUUGACAUCAGCUUCCCUGAAUAGCGGUACAUUAGAUUGAAUUAACAUAAUCCUUCCACGCUGACUCUUUUGUACCGGAUCUGAUUCAAACAACAAUGUCUACCAGGCAUGUUUACUUAUCAAUCUAUCUAGUGAUUAACUGUUAACAUCUUGGCUCGAAUGGAACAAUAUUCAUUUUGUGUUCCUGAACGAUUCUGUAGUGGACCCUGAAGAUUUAAUUAAUUUCUGGUAUGUGUAAAUUUGACCUGGUCAUAUAUAAAGGGAGUGAAUUUUCAAUCUUCACAGAGAAAUUACACGUUAAAGGUCGCGUAAGAGGAAAACAAUCUUCAAAAUGAAGUCUGUCUAUCUCAUUACAAUAUUUCUGGUGUUUGGACUUUUAUCUAGCGCCAACUUAGCCUGUGUUGGAUGUAACGAAGGUAUCAUUGACCAUGAUAGCGGAAUCAUUGGGGGCAAUGACGACAGUGUAGGGAACCAUCGUGUCAAAAGAACAGGCAAUGGGAGCGGAUUCGGUAAUCCGGCAUUGCCUUCCGAUGGUGACUGAAGAUGUCGGUGACGGGUCUCUAGCGUGGUGACUCGAAAUACGAACAACCGAUUGACUGACCGAUUACUUUUUCUGCAUCAAAUGAUAAUAAAAUUUGAAAAUCUCUUUUCUGACUGAUUUUUGUUUUGUUUUUUGUUUGUUUUGGUAUUAUGUUUUAAUAUCACCUUUCGGAAAUGAUGAUAGGUCUAGCUUGAAAUGGUUAGACAGUAUACGCAAUAUUGUGAUGUCCGCUUUGUUUAUUUCUCCGUAAUUAUUUUUGUUGAUCAAGUUAGAAACAACGUGGCACUUUGUAUUGAUGAUCCUGAUUGGCUGAAAGAGCGAGCUGCUUGAUAAUUUCUAAAAAAUAAAAACUCUUCA